This 445-nucleotide ribosomal RNA is filed under the name uncultured Aestuariimicrobium sp. Its description in RNAcentral is "bacterial SSU rRNA". It matches the Rfam family "Bacterial small subunit ribosomal RNA", at positions 338 to 795 of the family's 1533-position model. The record is from RNAcentral. Lineage: Bacteria; Bacillati; Actinomycetota; Actinomycetes; Propionibacteriales; Propionibacteriaceae.
CCUACGGGGGGCUGCAGUGGGGAAUAUUGCGCAAUGGGCGAAAGCCUGACGCAGCAACGCCGCGUGCGGGAUGACGGCCUUCGGGUUGUAAACCGCUUUCAGCAGGGACGAAGUGAAAAUGACGGUACCUGCAGAAGAAGCACCGGCCAACUACGUGCCAGCAGCCGCGGUGAUACGUAGGGUGCGAGCGUUGUCCGGAAUUAUUGGGCGUAAAGAGCUUGUAGGCGGUCUGUCGCGUCGAAAGUGAAAACUCAGGGCUCAACCCUGAGCCUGCUCUCGAUACGGGCAGACUAGAGGAAGGUAGGGGAGAACGGAAUUCUUGGUGGAGCGGUGGAAUGCGCAGAUAUCAGGAAGAACACCGGUGGCGAAGGCGGUUCUCUGGACCUUUCCUGACGCUGAGAAGCGAAAGCGUGGGGAGCAAACAGGCUUAGAUACCCCGGUAGUC